This is a long non-coding RNA of Gossypium arboreum, 436 nucleotides long. RefSeq lists it as uncharacterized. The transcript has 2 exons. The record is from RefSeq and is a predicted model, not a curated record. NCBI's taxonomy places the organism in Eukaryota, Viridiplantae, Streptophyta, Magnoliopsida, Malvales, Malvaceae.
GUGAGGAGAGAAAGAAAAAAAAAAGGGAGAGAAGGAAGAGAGAAAGGAGAGGGAGGAGGACUUCCGGCCAUGGACUGGUCACCGGUCUGAUCGCCGGACCCUCACCGGCCGCCGCCGCCGGCCACCGUCCACGGUGGCCGGAAAAGGUAGUGGGUGAAGAAGGAACAACCACCCAUGUUUUUGGCCUGAAAAUCUGGGAAGUGGGUGCCCCAAAUCACGUAAUCUGCCUGAAGGACCAAAUCACAAAUGCAACAAAACUUCUGGGGCUAAAUGUAAUUUUUAGAAAAUUUAGGGUGAAAAUGUAAUUUAAAGAAAGUUUAGGGGCCUAAGAUGUAAUUUUUUUUGAAAUUUUUUUAUUUUUUAUUUUAUUUUUUUGAAAUUUUGGAACUUAAACACGAAUUCUAGUCGGACAAAAAUUUAGUCUCCUUCACUGGAA